UACGUAGGGGGCUAGCGUUGUCCGGAAUCAUUGGGCGUAAAGAGCGCGUAGGCGGCCCGGUAAGUCUGCUGUGAAAGUCAAAGGCUUAACCUUUGAAAGUCAGUGGAUACUGUCGGGCUAGAGUCCGGAAGAGGCGAGUGGAACUCCUGGUGUAGCGGUGGAAUGCGCAGAUAUCAGGAAGAACACCAACGGCGAAGGCAGCUCGCUGGGACGGAACUGACGCUGAGGCGCGAAAGCGUGGGGAGCGAACAGG
Molecule: ribosomal RNA, 253 nt
Filed under: uncultured bacterium
Lineage: Bacteria
Description: partial 16S ribosomal RNA
Rfam family: Bacterial small subunit ribosomal RNA
Source: RNAcentral